UACGUAGGGGGCUAGCGUUAUCCGGAAUUACUGGGCGUAAAGGGUGCGUAGGUGGUUUCUUAAGUCAGAGGUGAAAGGCUACGGCUCAACCGUAGUAAGCCUUUGAAACUGGGAAACUUGAGUGCAGGAGAGGAGAGUGGAAUUCCUAGUGUAGCGGUGAAAUGCGUAGAUAUAUGGAAGAACACCAGUGGCGAAAGCGGCUCUCUGGUCUGUAACUGACGCUGAGGUUCGAAAGCGUGGGUAGCAAACAGG
RNAcentral lists this ribosomal RNA (252 nucleotides) under uncultured bacterium. RNAcentral's name for it is "partial 16S ribosomal RNA". It matches the Rfam family "Bacterial small subunit ribosomal RNA", at positions 524 to 776 of the family's 1533-position model. The record is from RNAcentral.